RNAcentral lists this ribosomal RNA (590 nucleotides) under Hydractinia polyclina. RNAcentral's name for it is "partial 16S ribosomal RNA". It matches the Rfam family "Bacterial large subunit ribosomal RNA", at positions 1842 to 2604 of the family's 2925-position model. The record is from RNAcentral. Lineage: Eukaryota; Metazoa; Cnidaria; Hydrozoa; Anthoathecata; Hydractiniidae.
AAAACCAAAGGUGUAACCUGCCCAAUGAUCUUAAACUUAAAAAAUAUAACUAUUUUUAAAAAGAUUUAAAGGACGCAGUAUCCUGACUGUGAUAAUGUAGCAUAAUCAUUCGCCAUUUAAUUGAUGGAUAGUAUGAAUGGUUGAACGAAUUCUUCACUGUCUUAAAAAAAGAAAUAAUGAAAUUUAAAUAAUAGUAAAGAUGCUAUUUAAAAUUGUAAGACGAAAAGACCCUAUAGAGCUUAACUAUAAGUUCUUUUAGUUAAAAGAACAUAAUUCUUAAAAUAAAGAACUUGGUAGUUUAGUUGGGGCGACUAUCUUCUAAUAUUAACGAAGACAAGCAAAAUUAAUAUAUAAUUUAUUGUAUAACCUAUAAGUUUAACAAUUACAAAAGUAGGCAUAAUGACCCGUUUUCAUUUAGUAAUUAAAGAAAACGAUCAAUAAAUAAAAGCUACCUUAGGGAUAACAGGAUAAUUUUGUUUUAGAGAUCCUAUCGAAAACAAAGUUUGUCACCUCUAUGUUGAAUUAAGAUAUCCUAGUAAUGCAGAAGUUACUAAAGGUAGGUCUGUUCGACCUUUAAAAUCUUACAUGAU